CUUCACCCCAGUCACGAAUCCUACCGUGGUAAGCGCCCUCCUUGCGGUUAGGCUACCUACUUCUGGUAAAACCCGCUCCCAUGGUGUGACGGGCGGUGUGUACAAGACCCGGGAACGUAUUCACCGCGACAUGCUGAUCCGCGAUUACUAGCGAUUCCAACUUCAUGUAGUCGAGUUGCAGACUACAAUCCGGACUACGAUACACUUUCUGGGAUUUGCUCCCCCUCGCGGGUUGGCGACCCUCUGUAUGUACCAUUGUAUGACGUGUGAAGCCCUACCCAUAAGGGCCAUGAGGACUUGACGUCAUCCCCACCUUCCUCCGGUUUGUCACCGGCAGUCUCAUUAGAGUGCCCUUUCGUAGCAACUAAUGACAAGGGUUGCGCUCGUUGCGGGACUUAACCCAACAUCUCACGACACGAGCUGACGACAGCCAUGCAGCACCUGUGCGCCGGUUCUCUUUCGAGCACCC
RNAcentral lists this ribosomal RNA (469 nucleotides) under uncultured beta proteobacterium. Its description in RNAcentral is "partial 16S ribosomal RNA". Lineage: Bacteria; Pseudomonadati; Pseudomonadota; Betaproteobacteria. The record is from RNAcentral.